RNAcentral lists this ribosomal RNA (420 nucleotides) under Fusobacteriota bacterium. Its description in RNAcentral is "Fusobacteria bacterium partial 16S ribosomal RNA". It matches the Rfam family "Bacterial small subunit ribosomal RNA", at positions 355 to 776 of the family's 1533-position model. The record is from RNAcentral. Lineage: Bacteria; Fusobacteriati; Fusobacteriota.
UGGGGGAUAUUGCACAAUGGGCGAAAGCCUGAUGCAGCGACGCCGCGUGGGGGAUGAAUGCCUUCGGGUUGUAAACUUCUUUUGCUCUGAACAAGGCAUGCCUUUGGGGUGUGCUGAGUGUAGGGGUUGAUUAGCGCCGGCUAACUACGUGCCAGCAGCCGCGGUAAUACGUAGGGCGCGAGCGUUGUCCGGAAUUAUUGGGCGUAAAGGGCUUGUAGGUGGCUGGUUGCGUCUGUCGUGAAAGCUCAUGGCUUAACUGUGGGUUUGCGGUGGGUACGGGCUGGCUUGAGUGCAGUAGGGGAGGCUGGAAUUCCUGGUGUAGCGGUGGAAUGCGCAGAUAUCAGGAGGAAUACCGGUGGCGAAGGCGGGUCUCUGGGCUGUUACUGACGCUGAGGAGCGAAAGCGUGGGGAGCGAACAGG